Molecule: ribosomal RNA, 507 nt
Filed under: uncultured bacterium
Lineage: Bacteria
Description: bacterial SSU rRNA
Rfam family: Bacterial small subunit ribosomal RNA
Source: RNAcentral
UAGUCCACGCCGUAAACGAUGAAUACUAGAUGCAGCGGGUAUCGACCCCUGCUGUGUCGUAGCUAACGCGUUAAGUAUUCCGCCUGGGGAGUACGGCCGCAAGGCUAAAACUCAAAGAAAUUGACGGGGGCCCGCACAAGCGGUGGAGCAUGUGGUUUAAUUCGAUGCAACGCGCAGAACCUCACCUGGGCUUGAAAUCCUCGGACCGCCAUAGAGAUAUGGGCUUUCUUCUUCGGAAGACUGAGUGACAGGUGCUGCAUGGCUGUCGUCAGCUCGUGUCGUGAGAUGUCAGGUUAAGUCCUAUAACGAGCGCAACCCCUAUCUUUAGUUACCAGCACUUCGGGUGGGACUCUAAAGAUACUGCCCCGGUCAACGGGGAGGAAGGUGGGGAUGGACGUCAAGUCCUCAUGGCCCUUAUGCCCAGGGCUACACACGUGCUACAAUGGACAGUACAGAGGGUCGCGACACUGCGAGGUGUAGCCAACCCCUUAAGCUAGUUCUUAGUUC